Long non-coding RNA from Vigna unguiculata (cowpea), 367 nucleotides. RefSeq lists it as uncharacterized. The record is from RefSeq and is a predicted model, not a curated record. NCBI's taxonomy places the organism in Eukaryota, Viridiplantae, Streptophyta, Magnoliopsida, Fabales, Fabaceae.
UCACACGACCACGACACAGUAUUUUCCGCAUUUCCUAGCAACAAUCUUACGCAUUUUGCUUUCUCCUCUGCUCUUGGCAACAUCAUUUUUCUCAGUCUUUCGCUCCUGGCACAUAGGUUCUAGUGUUCUGUCAUUUCAAAGGUUCUAUAAUUUUCAUAGUCUUAGCAUUGGAUCUGUGGUUCUGGGAGAUAUUCAUUGGCACUGCAGUGAAUUGGGUCUCAGAACUUGUUCAGUAUGUUGGUAAUUCACCAAUGAUAUGAUAUCAUCAUUGGACUUAGAAAAUACAUACUAAUUGCUAAAUAGGAUGAAAAGAAUCUUGUAUGUAAAUAUGAUAAGUUUUGUUUUUAUUCACAAAUAUUAAAUUCAA